AUACGUACUGCGCAAACGUUAUUCGGAAUCACUGGGCUUACAGGGUGCGUAGGCGGUUCGCCAGGUCAGAUGUGAAAUCCCACAGCUCAACUGUGGAACUGCAUUUGAAACCUGCGAACUUGAGUAGACUAGAGGUACACGGAACUUCAGGUGGAGCGGUGAAAUGUGUUGAGAUCUGAAGGAACACCAGAGGCGAAAGCGGUGUACUGGAGUCUGUCUGACGCUGAGGCACGAAAGCUAGGGGAGCGAACGGGAUUAGAUACCCUUGUAGUCC
This 274-nucleotide ribosomal RNA is filed under the name uncultured bacterium. RNAcentral's name for it is "partial 16S ribosomal RNA". It matches the Rfam family "Bacterial small subunit ribosomal RNA", at positions 523 to 796 of the family's 1533-position model. The record is from RNAcentral.